GGUUAACGCUGGCGGCGCGCCUGAUACAUGCAAGUCGAGCGAGGGCCCCUCUCCCGCAAGGGGAGGCGGGUUCCUAGCGGCGAACGGGUGAGUAACACGUGAGCAACCUGUCCCGAAGUGGGGGAUAACAUCGAGAAAUCGGUGCUAAUACCGCAUGAGUUCACCGAGGACAUCCCCGGUGAGGAAAGCAGCAAUGCGCUUUGGGGUGGGCUCGCGACCUAUCAGCUAGCGGUGGGGUAAUGGCCUACCGAGGCUUUGACGGGUAGCUGGUCUGAGAGGACGACCAGCCACACGGGGACUGAGACACGGCCCCGACUCCUACGGGAGGCAGCAGUAAGGAAUCUUCCGCAAUGGGCGAAAGCCUGACGGAGCGACGCCGCGUGUGGGAUGAAGUCCC
RNAcentral lists this ribosomal RNA (397 nucleotides) under uncultured bacterium. RNAcentral describes it as "bacterial SSU rRNA". It matches the Rfam family "Bacterial small subunit ribosomal RNA", at positions 28 to 417 of the family's 1533-position model. The record is from RNAcentral.